Molecule: ribosomal RNA, 3903 nt
Filed under: bacterium
Lineage: Bacteria
Description: 23S ribosomal RNA
Rfam family: Bacterial large subunit ribosomal RNA (bases 8-2922)
Source: RNAcentral
GGGAAAAUCUCAUUAAGAGUAUAUGGUGGAUGCCCUGACUUAAGAAGACGAUGAAGGACGCAGCAGCCUGCGAUAAGCCUCGGCGAGGUGGCAAGCAACCUUUGACCCGAGGAUUUCCGAAUGGGGAAACCCGUCCCGAUGAAGUCGGGACGACCGCUGUCUGAACACAUAGGACAGUGAGUGGACAACCCGGCGAACUGAAACAUCUUAGUAGCCGGAGGAAAAGAGAAAAAUAUUUAUUCCCUGAGUAGUGGCGAGCGAAAGGGGAGGAGUCUAAACCCGUAAAACUGCGAUUCAGUUAGCUUUUUGCUAUCUGGGUCAGAAGGUUCUAGGACCAUAUGUUUUAUUGGAGUUGCAAGAUAGUUGCGUUUUCUUCCUAGACAAAGAAAGGUAAAGAUACAAAUUAUAACUUUCCCUAAUUGAAGCGAGCUGGAAAGCUCCGCCAGAGCAGGUGAUAGCCCUGUAAGUGAAAGGGGUUAUAGCUUUACUGCAACAUAUCUUAAGUACCGCGGGACACGAGAAAUCCCGCGGGAAUCCAGGUCGACUAUGACCUAAGACUAAAUACUUCUUAAGAUCGAUAGCGAACAAGUACCGUGAGGGAAAGGUGAAAAGCAUCCCGGUGAGGGAGGUGAAAUAGUACCUGAAACCAUAUACUUACAAGGAGCUGGAGCCUCGGUUUACCGGGGUGACAGCGUGCCUAUUGAAGAAUGAGCCAACGAGUUUGUUCUAUGUGGCUUGGCUAAUCUCCGUUUGGAGUGGAGCCAUAGUGAAAGCGAGGGUUAAUAGCCCGUAUAUCGGAUUUCUGAUUUCGUCCCGCAUAUCGCGGAACGAUUUCUGAAUUCCGAUCGGUCGCAUGGACAAGACCCGAAGCCGGGUGAUCUAGCCAUGGCCAGGUUGAACUCCGAUGAAAAUCGGAGGGAGGACCGAACCCACUAGUCGUACAACACUAGGGGAUGAGCUGUGGUUAGCGGAGAAAUUCCAAUCGAACUCGGCAAUAGCUGGUUCUCCUCGAAAUAGCUUUUGGGCUAGCCUCGAGCGUUUAACCUAGGGGGUAGAGCACUGAAUGAGGGCGGGUCGCAAGAUACCGUCUUCAACCAAACUCCGAAUACCUAGGCCUAUAGCUCGGGAGUCAGACUAUGGGGGCUAAGCUCCAUCAGUCAAAAGGGAAACAGCCCUAAUCGCAAUCUAAGGUCCCUAAAUAUAUGCUAAGUGUAAAAAGUGGUGUCGCGACUGCGACAACUAGGAGGUUGGCUUAGAAGCAGCCAUCCUUUAAAGAAAGCGUAAUAGCUCACUAGUCAAGUUGCCGCGCGCUGAAAAUUUAUCGGGGCUAAGCAUAUUACCGAAGAUGCGGAUGUCGUUGCUUCGCAUUGACACGCGGAUUUUACGCCGAUUACAACGCGGAUUUUACGCUGAUUAUUUUCAGUGUUUUGUCAGCGUGCCAUCAGCGUGCCAUCAGCGUGCCAAUGCGGAGCAGCGGCGUGGUAGAGGAGCAUUUUGUCCGGCGUUGAAGCUGUGUCGCGAGGCAUGGUGGAGCGGACAGAAGAGAGAAUGUUGGCAUGAGUAGCAUUAAAGCCGGUAAGAAACCGGCUCACCGAAAGCUUAAGGUUUCCUGGGCAAUGAAAAUCAACCCAGGGUUAGUCGGUCCUAAGGCGAGCCGUGUGUAAUGCGCGGGUAGUCGAUGGAUGAGCUGGUUAAUAUUCCAGCACUAUUAUUGUGUUCCGAUGGGGGGACGCAAUUUAAAGGUUUGAGCGUUUUUAUGGUAUGAGCGUUGAUUGCCAAGUUUGAUGAUUCAGGCAAAUCCGGAUCACCAAUCAAACAAGGCUGUCAAAAGGCAAAGCUUCGGCGGAGCCAAUUCAAGCUGAUAGAUUGCCCAGAAAAACCUCUAGGGCUAACGCGAUAAUAACCGUACCGCAAACCGACACAGGUGAGCGAGGCGAGAAGCCUCAGGUGUACGAGAGAACCUUCGUUAAGGAACUCGGCAAAACAGCGGCCGUAAUUUCGAGAUAAGGCCUGCCCCGGUUUACCGGGGCCGCAGCUAAAGAACUCAAGUGACUGUUUAUCAAAAACACAGCUCCCUGCUAACUCGUAAGAGGAUGUAUAGGGGGCGAUGCCUGGCCAGUGUCCGAACGUUAAGGGGAGAGGUUAGUCCCGCAGCAAUGCGGGGCGAAGCUUUGAACCGAAGCGCGGAUGAACGCCGGCCGUAACUAUAACGGUCCUAAGGUAGCGAAAUUCCUUGUCGGGUAACUUCCGACCUGCACGAAUGGCUUAACAACUUGGGUACUGUCUCAACGAAGGACUCGGCGAAAUUGCAGGACGAGUAAAGAUGCUCGUUAACCAUAGUUGGACGAAAAGACCCCGUGAAGCUUUACUAUAGCUUGACAUUGGAUUAGGGGUAUGCAUGUUCAGCAUAGGUGGGAGAGCCGGUUUACCGGCUCAACAGUGAGAUACCACCCUUGUAUGCUUUUAAUUCUAACUCCCAGCCUUGAAUCAGGCGGGAGGACAGUGUCUGGUGGGUAGUUUGUCUGGGGCGGAUGCCUCCCAAAAGGUAACGGAGGCGUUUACAAAGGUUGGCUAUUCCGGGAUGGAAAUCCGGAAGAUAGCGUAAAGGCAUAAGCCAGCUUUACUGCAAGACCUACUAGUCGAGCAGUCGCGAAAGCGGAACUUAGUGAUCCGACCGUGCGAUAUAGGACGGCGGAAGCUCAUCGGAUAAAAGCUACUCCGGGGAUAACAGGCUAGUCACGCCCGAGCGUCCACAGCGACGGCGUGGUUCGGCACCUCGAUGUCGGCUCGUCGCAUCCUGGGGGUGAAGAAGCUCCCAAGGGUUAGGCUGUUCGCCUAUUAAAGCGGCACGCGAGCUGGGUUCAGACCGUUCAGAAGCUGAUUUUUUAUUCGGCUCUUGAACCAUCUGAACCCGAGGAGACAUCAAUAACGGCGGCAUCCCGCAGUAAUGCGGGAUUGAAAAAGUCGACUCAUAUCGGUGAAGUCCUAUCAUAUAAAUUUGCAUUUCAACCUGUCAUAUGUUAGGAUAAUACCGAGGGAAGUUGAUUAUGUCUAAACUUAUAACCACAACAAAAAGAGCGUAUUUGGCCGGAUUUCUUGAUGGCGACGGAAGUAUUUACGUAAGACUGAAACCAAAUCCUACUUACAAGUAUGGAUUUCAGGUAUCGCCUUAUAUUAUACUUUUCCAAUCCAAAAAAGAAUCUGAGAAUUUUAAGAAAAUUUGCUCUUUAAUAGAUUGCGGUUAUAUACGUGAAAGAAAUGAUGGUAUAUUAGAAUAUACCAUUAAUAGAAGAGAUGAAAUAAUAAAAUUCUUGAAAUUAAUAAAGCCAUAUUUAAUCUUAAAGAAAGAACAGGCCGGUUUAAUGAUAAAAAUAUUAAACCAGAAAAAUAGAGUGAAAAGCAGAGAAGAUUUUAAUAAAUUGGCAGAGUUAAUAGAUAAAUUUAGAGAAUUGAAUUAUUCAAAGAAGCGUAAAAGACAUAAUUUAACCCCGUAGAGACUGAUCCUUAAAUGGAGAGAGUGUUCCAGUAUAAUUGGAGCGCUAACACGUCGACCCCCCGGUACAACCGGGGUGAUGGUAUAGUCCAUACACUUGGCAACAAGUGAAAUAAAUGCGUAAGACAGGUCGGUCUCCUAUCCACUAUGGUCAUGGAAACUUGAGGAGUCCCUUCCUUAGUACGAGAGGACCGGGAAGGACGAAGCUCUGGUGUACCAGCUGUUCUACCAAGGGCAUUGCUGGGUAGCUAACUUCGGUUAGGAUAAGCGCUGAAAGCAUCUAAGCGCGAAGCCGUCUCCAAGAUUAGGUUUCACAGGCUGGUCAUAGACGAUGACCUUGAUAGGCUCUAGGUGUAAGCCCCGCAAGGGGUUGAGCCGAGGAGUACUAAUAAGCCGUUUGAUUUUCCCAC